Long non-coding RNA from Theobroma cacao (cacao), 3301 nucleotides. RefSeq lists it as uncharacterized. Lineage: Eukaryota; Viridiplantae; Streptophyta; Magnoliopsida; Malvales; Malvaceae. The record is from RefSeq and is a predicted model, not a curated record.
GAAAAAGGCUCGCGUCACCCAAAACUGAUCUGAUUAUUUUAACGUCGGUGCUCGAACUGUCCCAUAUGUUUUUGCUGUAUAAAAGUGGACAGCCGAUAUAUCUGUAUCUGAUCAUUAGAGUUUUAAGGGCAGCGCUUGCUGGAGAACAUAUAAUUUGUAAGUAUCAAUUAUGGUUAACUCUCUGUUGCUUUAAAGUGUAGUAGAUGAGUUUGGUACAUAGAAUCAACAAGUCGACAUAUAUUCAAUCAAGAAAAGACGGUGAGAAAACAUAGAGGAUUGUUUUGGGCCAACCCAAAACCAUGGAGGAUUCUAGUGCCUUUGCUGCUUUCCCGGCAGACGAUUCAGAGCGAACACCAGAUCACAGAGGCUGUAAACGUCCACUAACUGAAGCUCAGAGAAAAGCAAGAAAUGAGCGUGAUAGAAAACGCCGGCAAGAACAUAGGGUGGAGUACGAGAGACUUCAGAAUGUGGAGUCCCAGUACGACGACUUGAAGACCCAACUCGGGAUCCAGACAAACACUAUUUAGCGAAUUAGAGGAGGAGAACCAAAGGCUGAAGAAUAGGGAGUCACAUCUUAAUAAAAGAACAGAGGAACUCGAGAAUGCUCUUCUUGAAAGGGCAGCACCUGUAAGACGACAUAACCAAGAAAAAUUUUUUGCUUAAUUUUACCAGUAUAAUCUAAUCUUUGAUUAAACUUUACUUUGUUUUAAUUUGUCAAUGAAGGAUCUACUCCUCCACGGGAAUCAAUUACGACCAAUGGUUCUAAUAGGUGGAGAGAUUAACCAAAUGGUAUGGACACGGGCACAUCUUCCGCUGAUGCCAGAUUUAUGUAUCAGCGCUGCGGUCCAAACCCAAGUAAUUGCAGCAAGACCAGCGGAGGGUGUCAUUGACAAGAAAACAAUAACCAAUCAGUUCACGAUGAAUGUCCCGUUCCUGUAUGUGGCAUCCAAAACGGAGGAAGUGACUUGCAUCGGGCGAGGGGCAAUUGCUCAGCGAGUCCCGAGGGGGGUUUGGUCCAGUACUUGUUCGAGUGGAUCCCUCACCAGACCAACCAGAAAUCUUCGGAGAAUUUGGGAUGGUCUCCAGUAAAUGUUGGCUGGAUUCAGAAUUUGGCUCCAUCCGGCCACACGGGUUCAUCAUGUGGUGCUCAAGCCAAGUUUCCAAUAAAAUUUCUGCUCUGGAAUUCCGUAGGGACUCUGGAUACCUAUGGUCAGAGGAUUGUGAUGGAUCUUAUCAACCGUUUCCGACCCGCCGUUUUGGUCAUUGCUGAGACCAAGUUUACCUCGUGCCAGAGAGGAAGAAAUCAAGGACACGUUUCAUUUUGAUGCUCAGCGUGUUCCGCCUAACUUGGAAUUUGUGGGAGGGAUGUGAGCAUGUGGCUGUUGUGGCGCUCUGAUGUGGUGGAGGUUGAAGUUCUUUUCUUCACAGAGCAAGAAAUCCAUGCUCGCAUUAACGGGAGUCACUUUAAGAGUAUCGAAGAGGCUCAGUCAUGGCUUCUAGCAUCACCAACUCAUAGUGAAGAUGCAGCAAAUAAUGCGCAUAUUACUCAAGGUCCAAGGAGUUCUCUAGGUGGUAGAUUGUAUACCGAUGAGCUUGUGCACGAUUUUACAAAGUAACUUGAUGCCAAAGACAAGAGCCAAGAUGAUUUUUCAGACUUCAGAGGCUUAAUGGAGGAAGUGGUAAAAAGUGGGACGGUCACUUUACCUCCUUCUCUGGCUCUUAUUGAUAAGAAGAUCGAGAAGAAGUAUGGUGAGAUUGCUGCAGAGAGCAAACAAAGCAGCUUCACAGCUAUGCCUAGCCGUGUUCUGUUGUGUGCGGAAAUCAAAGAGAAGGAUGAGCUGCAACUUGAGAGUAUCGACUAGAAAAAGAUGUUGUUAUGGAGGGAUGCAAUCAAUAGUGCUCUGUAUGGUUUAAAAUAGGCUCCUAGAGCUUGGUAUGCUCGGAUAGACAAUUUUCUUACUUCAGAGGGGUAUCACAGGAGUGCAAACGAGCCUACUUUGCAUGUUUACAGUCUUACUGACUCAGUCAAAGUAAUACUUUCUUUAUAUGUUGAUGAUCUGUUGCUUAUUGGGACAGAUGAGUCAACUUCAAUGAAUUGCAAAGAGAAGCUGAAGAAAGAAUUUGAGAUGUCUGAUCUGGGAGAAAUGCACUACUUUCUGGGGUUGCAAUUUAUACAGUGCCCUGAUUAUAUUUAUAUGCACCAAGGCAAGUAUGCUUCAGAAUUAUUGAAGAAGUUCCAUAUGGAAAACUGUAAAGUAGUGGAAACUUCUUUGGCAACAAACUACAAGUUGAGCAAAGAUGAUGAGGCUCCAGAUGCUAUAGGCAAUGCUUACAGAAGCUUGAUUUGUAGUUUACUGUACUCAACUGCCUCAAGACCAGAUAUCAUGUUCUCUGUAAGCUUAUUAUGUCGAUUUAUGCAGAAGCCAUCACAGUUGCUGAAAGGUACUCAGAUAUGUUAGGGGAACAGUUGAUUAUGGAUUGAAGUUUGAAAAAGCAGAUGGCAGAGAGCUUGUUGUUCACUGUGAUAGCGACUGGGCUGGAAGUGUAGAUGACUCCAGGAGCACUGGAGGUUACUGUUUUUCUUUUGGUAGUGCUGUCUUCUCCUGGAAUUUCAAGAAGCAGGAAGUUGUUGCUCAAUCUUCAGCAGAGGCUGAAUAUAUUGCAGCAGCAGCAGCUGCAAAUCAAGCAAUUUGGCUCAGGAAAAUAGUGUGUGAUUUGGGAUUCAAAUAGGAAAAGGGAACUACACUGUUCAUUGAUAAUCAAUAAGCAAUUUCGAUAGCCAGAAAUAUAGUGAAUCAUUGGAGAACCAAGCACAUCAAGGUGAAGUUUCAUUCAAUUUGAGAAGCUGCAAAGGAUGAUGAGAUACAGGUUAAACAUUGUGGAACUGAUGUUCAGCUUGUGGACAUAUUUACUAAGAAUUUGAGCAAAGAAUGGUUUCUGUGGCUAAGAGAAAAACUCGGAGUCUGCAAAACAAAACCCAAGGGGGUGUGUUGAAGUAUUGGGUUUUGUUUCUGGAAAGAACAAGCUUCACUGGUUUGGCAAUGGUGAUUCCCGGGAAAUUCAAAUCAGUGAAGAAGAAGAAGAGCACAUGACUUGCAUGUGACUCAUUCAAACGUUAUGUCGCUUAGCUUACUUUCAUUGUCGUUUUCAGCACUUUUGUUUAUCUUCUUUAAGUUGGCAAAACUAUGCCGUUUCAAGUAGUUAUUUUCCUUCGUUUUAGUAAGCUGUCAGAAAAAAAUAUUUUAGAGUCUCCAAUGCAAAAUAUUCCUCCGUUGUUGUUUGCUGUGGCCAGGUGGCCUUU